Molecule: ribosomal RNA, 394 nt
Filed under: Escherichia coli
Lineage: Bacteria; Pseudomonadati; Pseudomonadota; Gammaproteobacteria; Enterobacterales; Enterobacteriaceae
Description: bacterial SSU rRNA
Rfam family: Bacterial small subunit ribosomal RNA
Source: RNAcentral
AGCUAAUACCGCAUAACGUCGCAAGACCAAAGAGGGGGACCUUCGGGCCUCUUGCCAUCGGAUGUGCCCAGAUGGGAUUAGCUAGUAGGUGGGGUAACGGCUCACCUAGGCGACGAUCCCUAGCUGGUCUGAGAGGAUGACCAGCCACACUGGAACUGAGACACGGUCCAGACUCCUACGGGAGGCAGCAGUGGGGAAUAUUGCACAAUGGGCGCAAGCCUGAUGCAGCCAUGCCGCGUGUAUGAAGAAGGCCUUCGGGUUGUAAAGUACUUUCAGCGGGGAGGAAGGGAGUAAAGUUAAUACCUUUGCUCAUUGACGUUACCCGCAGAAGAAGCACCGGCUAACUCCGUGCCAGCAGCCGCGGUAAUACGGAGGGUGCAAGCGUUAAUCGGAA